AUACGGAGGGUGCAAGCGUUGUCCGGAUUUAUUGGGUUUAAAGGGUGCGUAGGUGGCGUGUUAAGUCAGUGGUGAAAGCCUGCAGCUCAACUGUAGAGGUGCCAUUGAUACUGACAUGCUUGAGUAUGGACGAGGUAGGCGGAAUUUGUGGUGUAGCGGUGAAAUGCAUAGAUACCUCAAAGAACACCGAUAGCGAAGGCAGCUUACUGGACCAUAACUGACACUGAGGCACGAAAGUGUGGGUAGCGAACAGGAUUAGAUACCCUAGUAGUCC
RNAcentral lists this ribosomal RNA (274 nucleotides) under uncultured bacterium. RNAcentral describes it as "partial 16S ribosomal RNA". It matches the Rfam family "Bacterial small subunit ribosomal RNA", at positions 523 to 796 of the family's 1533-position model. The record is from RNAcentral.